AAAGGGUGCGUAGGCGGUUUAUUAAGUCAGUGGUGAAAGACGGUCGCUCAACGAUUGCAGUGCCAUUGAUACUGGUAGACUUGAGUGAGAUUGAGGUAGCUGGAAUGGAUAGUGUAGCGGUGAAAUGCAUAGAUAUUAUCCAGAACACCAAUUGCGUAGGCAAGUUACUAAGUCUCAACUGACGCUGAGGCACGAAAGUGUGGGUAUCAAACAGGAUUAGAUACCCCGGU
This 230-nucleotide ribosomal RNA is filed under the name uncultured bacterium. RNAcentral describes it as "partial 16S ribosomal RNA". It matches the Rfam family "Bacterial small subunit ribosomal RNA", at positions 562 to 791 of the family's 1533-position model. The record is from RNAcentral.